GGGGGGAUUGGCCGGCUGCUCAGGCCGCCUUGACCGGAGGCAGGGCGGAGGCGGCCAUCAGGUGAGGGGUCGUUCGGGUCGACCAUCCUCGUG
RNAcentral lists this transfer RNA (93 nucleotides) under Phytohabitans aurantiacus. RNAcentral describes it as "Micromonospora sp. RD004123 tRNA-Gly". Lineage: Bacteria; Bacillati; Actinomycetota; Actinomycetes; Micromonosporales; Micromonosporaceae. The record is from RNAcentral.